Molecule: long non-coding RNA, 4453 nt
Filed under: Ovis aries (sheep)
Lineage: Eukaryota; Metazoa; Chordata; Mammalia; Artiodactyla; Bovidae
Description: lncRNA (ENSOARG00000025981.1)
Source: RNAcentral
AUGACAAUGGGACCAAUCCUUUCUCAAAUUCCUUUUCUUGACAGAGGAAAAGCUCCUGUGAAACUGUCAUCUAUAUGUCAAAAAGUGGAGCUCACAGACCAACUGAAACCACAUGAGAAGACGCUAAGUCCCCAGAAACAACUUUCAUUUUUCUGCCUGCUUCUCGGCUCUGGCCUCUGGAGAAAAGUUCUCGCCUGCCUGCUUCGCUCAAGAGUUUAUCAGGCGGUUCCCCGGGACCCAGAUGGCCCAGCCACUCCUGAACCACCUGAGGAGGGAGUCUCACCAAAGCCUGCAUGGGGCCCCUUCCAGGGCAAGAGAACACGCCUUUUGAGGAUGACGAUCGCCCUCCUCUUCGCGGAGAGCCGCGGUCCUUACACACUCCGAGCUGGGAGUAGGCUCCCCGGCGUCCGGGGAGGGGGCGGUAGCAGGGGUCGGUCUUCCGCACGUUGUAGCUUGGCACCCACUCCCAAUGGCUCAAAAUUCUCCAAACAGCAGAAAGGGCUUGAAAAGAGAUAAAUAAUGACAACUGAGUGACAGCCGUGAUUUCAGGAGGCAGAUCUUUGCGGAGAUGCCAGCACCGAUUCUUCUCCGUGGUGGCCGAGGCGUAGAGGCUUCCGGGAGGUGGCGCGGCUGUGGGGAGGGUGGAGGUUCUCAGACCCCAGACCAGGGCCCGGGGCUGGACAGACGAUUGGACAUUCGCCCUUGGCAAGGUCGGAGGCCUUCGAGGCCUCAGCAGGUGAGGUGCGGCUGGUCCCCCUGGGUAGACCCUUGACCUCUUCGCGGGUGCCUCGCUUCUCCUGAGAGUGGGCUGGAGAGUGGAGGGGAUGAGGAUUGGAAGAGGCAACCUGGGGGUUGCUGAGGCAGAUUGUUGGGGCGGAGGCUCGAGACACUUCUGCAGACGACCUCCGGGAAAAUAAGCCAUUGUGAAAAGCAUCACCUGGGAACUUGUUAAAAAGGUAAAUCAUCUGAAUCAGGUUAACCCUGGCAACCAAUUGACUCAACAAUGGGCAGGCCCUCCUCCAAGUGAUUCUGAUGCUGGCUCAAGUUCAAGAACCCUUGGUGCAAAGGAAGGGCACUGACCUCUGGGGCUGGGAAACUGGACCCCUCAGUUCUUGCAUCAGUAAAGGAAGGAUGAGGUCAGCUCAGGGGACCCUGGUGGGUGGAGUCAGGAAGGUUACACAGGGUGAGAGGGGCCAGGCAGGUAAUGUCACACCCCAAAGGGCCUGUGCCAGCCAGAUGUCACCUGGCCUGAACUGGGGACAGAUUGUUGCUAUAUUAUCUGGUUUUGCAAGAGAAGCUGGAAACCUACGUUUUUAAAAUCUGAAAUCUCCUGUUUUUUAAGUGUUGGGAACUAGUUAGACAUUUCAAAAACAUUGUUUGGGUCUUCACUAUAGGGCAAGCACACCUGGAUUUGCCCUGUGGGUCCCAGUUUAUUCUUUAAACUCCAAGAUCUCGUCUUACCUUGAAACAGUCUGUGAGAUUGACAGAAAUGUGGCCAAUGCCCUGGGACAGAAGAGUGCGGCUUUCUGAACUUCUAAGAAAUUAUUAUUAGGAGAGACAAUUUUUUGAACACCUGGUAGUCACACAAAAAUAUCUUUGUUCCUUUAACUCCCUCCUUGCUCGUCUCUAUCAUCCUCUUAAUCAGGGCACCUCAUUGUUCUCAUUAUAAUUUAGACCUAAAAAAUGCUGACCCACAGAAACGGUAAGUAACUUGCUCAAAGCUAUCUGCCAGAGUCAGACAACAUCCUCAUCAAGAUCCGCUCUAAAAAUCACCUAGCAUUUACCCAGUGUUUUGCCUCCAUGCCAGAUAUUGUUCUAACUACUUUACAGAUAUUAACUCUUUUACUCCUACAACAACCUGUGAAAUGAAGAUCACUUUCAUCUCCCAUUGUACAGAUGAGGAAACUGAAGCCCAGAGAGCUUAAAUGACUUGCCCAAGGUCACCCAGUUUGUAGGCUGGUAGGUGGCAAAGCUGGGAUUUGAACAUAGGUGGCCCGACUGGCGCCAGAGCCCACCACGCAUUACUGCCUUCCCUGCUCUCAAUGAUAGCCUCCUCCUGUCUCACCAGGAUGAGGUCCCUAGGAAUGUAGCAACUCAGAUGGGCAUAAAAGAGCGUACGGUUGAGACUCUUUGCAAGGCAGGAAUAGACACACAGAUGUAGAGAAAGAAUGUGUGCAAACAGUGAGUGAAGGAGAGGAUGGGACAAAUUGGGAGAGCAGCCUUGACAUAUACACACUACCAUGUGUAAUAUAGCUAGCUAGCCAGAAGCUGUGGUAUAAUACAGGGAGCUCAGUUCAGCGCUCUGUGAUGACCUAGAGGGGUGGGAUGGGGGGUGGGGUGAAAGAGGGGCUCAAGAGAAAUGGGGUAUAUGUAUACAUAUAGCUGAUUCACUUCAUUGUACAGCAGAAACUGACAUAACAUUAUAAAGCAAUUAUACUCCAAGAAAAAACCUAAUCCAAUAUGAAAAGAAAAAAAGGAUCUGUGUUGAUGGAGCCCAGCAAGCCAAGCGCAUGCAGAGCUCUGACCUAGCAGGUCAGCCUCUCUGUAACAUCCUCCCUAAUGUAGCCAGUCGGGCUUAAGGUGUCAGGGAAUUUGACAGUUUUAACAAAGGAGGUGUCAUCUGGAGAAGAUGAAAGAGCAGAGCUAUUUAUUUGAGGAUUAGAGCCUUAAGAAGUGUCUGUAACUCUCCAGGCUGCAUUUCUGCAUCUCAUUCUUCUUGUUCCUGACAGUGUUCUCAGGGCUUUGGUGGCAAGAAUGCCCUGUAAUCUAGUUUAAUGUCCCACGGUGUUCUAGGCAGAGGAGCUAUUUCCCUACCCCACAGCACUUGCUCUGAAAUUGUCCAGAUGAAAAGAGCACUGAAAAAGGAGUCAGGAAGUCUGGGUCCUAAGCCCUCGCCUUAUAAAUAGUUGAUUGUGAGACCUGCAGAAAUGACUUUUACCUUCCUGGGUUCAGGCUGCUCCUUCCCUGGUGUAGCUUGAACCACGUGUAGCUAAAGUGGAAAUUCCUUUUCUCACCUGUGCUCUCUACGUGUCCUGUGCUCAGCAGCCGUGUGUAGCAGGUGACUGUCGUAAUGGAUGGUGCACAUGUCAGACAUCUCUCUUAUUGUAGCAAGUUCUGUAAGGAGGUGCUGCUGGUGCUUGAAUUAGCUAAUCCUAAAGCCCUUUGAGGGGCUUCCCAGGUGGCUCAAUGGUAAAGAAUCCACCUGCCAAUGCAGGAGACAAAGUUUGAUCCCUGGCUUGGGAAGAUCCCUAGAGGAGGGAACAGCAACCCACUCUGGUAUUCUUACCUGGGAAAUCCCAUGGACAUAGGAAUCUGGUGGGCUACAGUACAUGGGGUCGCCAAGAGUCGGACAUGACUGGGCAACUGAGCACACACACUCAAAACUCUUUGAACACUGAAAUCCUAUGUUUUGUUUGUUUCUGAUACAUGAGCAGUCACUAUUCAUAGCUGCGAGAUGUUCUCUAGGGUUGGUUGAUCUUUGCCAGUGAGGUGGGUACAGUGAGCUUUUAGCUGGUAAUUGCACCUUGUGGCCAAGAGCGGCUAUUAGAGAGACAUCCAGUCAAGAAUUAGCAAUGCAGGGUUAGACCAUGAAUGUUCCUGCUCUUUGAUUCCUAUUGGCCCAUAAAAGAAGAGAACACUGGAUCUAAUUAUUUAAGCAUAAAGGUAAGAAUGAAACGAACAGCACUAUUCGACAACAAUCAGGAUAUGAAAACAACCUAAAUGUCCAUCAGUAGAUGAAUGGAUAAAGAUAUAUGUAUAUAUACAUGCAAUGGAAUAGUAUUCAAGCAUAAGAAUGAAAUGAUGCCAUUUGAGCAACAUGGAUGGACCUAGAGAUUAUCAUACUAAGUAAAGUAAGUCAGAAAGAGAAAGACAAAUACCAUAUGAUAUCGUUUAUAUGUGGAAUUGAAAAUAUAACACAAAUGGACUUAUCUACAAAACAGAAAUAGACUCACAGACUUAGAGAGCAGGCUGAUGGUUGCCAAGAGAUUACAGGAUGGAGUGGGAGUUUGGGAUUAGCAGAUGCAAACUAUUACGGAGAGAAUGGGUAAAUCACAGCGUCCUACUAUAUAGCACAGGGAACUAUUUUCAAUAUCCUGUAAUAAACCAUAAUGGAAAAGAAUAUGCAUGCAUGUAUGCUAAGGUGCCUCAGUUGUAUCCAACUAUUUGCGACCCUAUGUCAGGCCAGGCUCCUCUGUCCGUGGGCUUCUCCAGGCAAGAAUAUUGAAGUGGGUUGCCAUGCCCUCCUCCAGGGCAUCUUCCCAACCCAGGGAUCGAACCCACGUCUCAUUAUGUCUCCUGCAUUGCAAGGCAGGUUCUUUACCACUAGUGCCACCUGAGAAGCCCCCAAAAGAAUGUAUAUGUGUACAUAUAUGCUUAUAACUGAAUCACUUUGCUAUACAGCAGAAAUUAAGACAAUAUUGUAAAUCAACUAUAACAAAAUGAAUAUUUUUUU